GACGAACGCUGGCGGCGUGCUUAACACAUGCAAGUCGAACGGAAAGGCCCUGCUUUUGUGGGGUGCUCGAGUGGCGAACGGGUGAGUAACACGUGAGUAACCUGCCCCUGACUUUGGGAUAACUUCAGGAAACUGGGGCUAAUACCGGAUAGGAGCUCCUGCUGCAUGGUGGGGGUUGGAAAGUUUGGGCGGUUGGGGAUGGACUCGCGGCUUAUCAGCUUGUUGGUGGGGUAGUGGCUUACCAAGGCUUUGACGGGUAGCCCGCCUGAGAGGGUGACCGGCCACAUUGGGACUGAGGUACGGACCAGACUCCUACGGGCGGCAGCAGUGGGGAAUAUUGCACAAUGGGCGGAAGCCUGAUGCAGCAACGCCGCGUGCGGGAUGACGGCCUUCGGGUUGUAAACCGCUUUCGACUGUGACGAAGCGUGAGUGACGGUAAUGGGUAAAGAAGCACCGGCUAACUACGUG
Molecule: ribosomal RNA, 468 nt
Filed under: uncultured bacterium
Lineage: Bacteria
Description: partial 16S ribosomal RNA
Rfam family: Bacterial small subunit ribosomal RNA
Source: RNAcentral